Molecule: ribosomal RNA, 578 nt
Filed under: uncultured Nitrospira sp.
Lineage: Bacteria; Pseudomonadati; Nitrospirota; Nitrospiria; Nitrospirales; Nitrospiraceae
Description: bacterial SSU rRNA
Rfam family: Bacterial small subunit ribosomal RNA
Source: RNAcentral
ACUCYUACGGGAGGCAGCAGUAAGGAAUAUUGCGCAAUGGGCGAAAGCCUGACGCAGCGACGCCGCGUGGGGGAUGAAGGUCUUCGGAUUGUAAACCCCUUUCGGGAGGGAAGAUGGAACGGGGUAACCCAUUCGGACGGUACCUCCAGAAGCAGCCACGGCUAACUUCGUGCCAGCAGCCGCGGUAAUACGAAGGUGGCAAGCGUUGUUCGGAUUUACUGGGCGUACAGGGAGCGUAGGCGGUUCGGUAAGCCCUCUGUGAAAUCUCCAGGCUUAACCUGGAACAGUCGGAGGGGACUGCUGGGCUAGAGGACGGGAGAGGAGCGCGGAAUUCCCGGUGUAGCGGUGAAAUGCGUAGAGAUCGGGAGGAAGGCCGGUGGCGAAGGCGGCGCUCUGGAACGUUUCUGACGCUGAGGCUCGAAAGCGUGGGGAGCAAACAGGAUCAGAUACCCUGGUAGUCCACGCCUUAAACUAUGAAUACUAAGUGUCGGCGGUUUACCGCCGGUGCCGCAGCUAACGCAUUAAGUAUUCCGCCUGGGAAGUACGGCCGCAAGGUUGAAACUUAAAUGAAUUGACGG